RNAcentral lists this ribosomal RNA (164 nucleotides) under Pinguicula alpina. RNAcentral's name for it is "5.8S ribosomal RNA". It matches the Rfam family "5.8S ribosomal RNA". Rfam says of the family: 5.8S ribosomal RNA (5.8S rRNA) is a component of the large subunit of the eukaryotic ribosome. It is transcribed by RNA polymerase I as part of the 45S precursor that also contains 18S and 28S rRNA. Lineage: Eukaryota; Viridiplantae; Streptophyta; Magnoliopsida; Lamiales; Lentibulariaceae. The record is from RNAcentral.
GACUCUCGGCAACGGAUAUCUCGGCUCUCGCAUCGAUGAAGAACGUAGCAAAAUGCGAUACUUGGUGUGAAUUGCAGAAUCCCGUGAACCAUCGAAUCUUUGAACGCAAGUUGCGCCCGAAAGCCAUCCGGCCGAGGGCACGCCUGCCUGGGCGUCACGCAUCG